UAGGGAAUAUUGCUUAAUGGGCGAAAGCCUGAAGCAGCAACGCCGCGUGGACGAAGAAGGACUUCGGGUUGUAAAGUUCUUUUAUAUGGGAUGAGGAAGGACAGUACCAUAUGAAUAAGUCUCGGCUAACUACGUGCCAGCAGCCGCGGUAAAACGUAGGAGACGAGCGUUAUCCGGAUUUACUGGGCGUAAAGAGCGUGUAGGAGGCGCUACAAGUUGGAUGUAAAAGCUCCCGGCUUAACUGGGAGAGGUCGUUCAAGACUGUAGAGCUAGAGUAAGGCAGAGGUAGAUGGAACUCCGGGAGUAGUGGUGAAAUGCGUAGAUAUCCGGAAGAACACCAGAGGCGAAAGCGAUCUACUGGACCUUGACUGACACUGAGACGCGAAAGCCAGGGUAGCAAACG
Molecule: ribosomal RNA, 403 nt
Filed under: uncultured prokaryote
Description: bacterial SSU rRNA
Rfam family: Bacterial small subunit ribosomal RNA
Source: RNAcentral